GAUCUCAGCCCACAGACACAGCUCCACCUUAGGGCUUGCAUAGGGCAGCUGCCCUUGAACUCCCAUCAAGAAAAGCCUGGCACCACCAGCUUGGGCAGUAGCUCUGAACAUUAGCUGCUCAGUGGUGGUGCUUACAUCCCUGCUUCUCUGACUGGUCAUUCCCUGCGCCAGUUGGAGGAGUGCUGCCUGUCUGCACGAUGGGAAUUGCUUUGAGGUCUGGCCAGCAUGCUGCCCCAGCCAGUUGGGAAGAUGUGUCUGCACUCCUGGUCAGCACUACUAUCUGCCCUCUGAUUUUUGAAGGGAAAUUGUAGUGACUUCUUCAGCUGGAAGCCUUGUGACCAGCUGAGCCUUCUCCGUGUUCGUGACAAGAAACCCACAUUUGUGGCUCUUUAAGGUUGGACCCUGAUUCCUCAAGGACUGGGACACACAACUGACAUAAGAGCACACCAACCAAAAAUCAGAUUCAGGAAAUGAUGCAAGUUUAAUUUCUGUUUGAAAUGUUCAGAAAUAUGGCACCUUGGAAAAGGAGAUUUUCCAGACCUGAGACUGGGCUGAGUAUAUGACUACUCAUACUUUUGUCUGGCUCAAAAUACAGGUUGUAAAAGACUUUGCAAACUGGCUUUGAAUAGUACUGGAGGCAAUCCAAAGCCAAAUUUAAUUUGAGUUUUCUGUCUCAGCUGAUACAAAUUCUACAAGAGUGAAAAUGUGUUCUAUAGGUCUUCUUAGGCACUUUACUACAUAGGAGGAGCUGUAAGUCCAGAAUUUGAAACUUCAGCACAUCCUUAACAAGGAUGCAACUGAAAUAAAUCACUUCC
Melospiza georgiana is the source of this 815-nucleotide long non-coding RNA. RefSeq lists it as uncharacterized. The record is from RefSeq and is a predicted model, not a curated record. The transcript has 4 exons. Lineage: Eukaryota; Metazoa; Chordata; Aves; Passeriformes; Passerellidae.